Molecule: ribosomal RNA, 179 nt
Filed under: uncultured fungus
Lineage: Eukaryota; Fungi
Description: partial 18S ribosomal RNA
Rfam family: Eukaryotic small subunit ribosomal RNA
Source: RNAcentral
UUUGGAGGGCAAGUCUGGUGCCAGCAGCCGCGGUAAUUCCAGCUCCAAUAGCGUAUAUUAAAGUUGUUGCAGUUAAAAAGCUCGUAGUUGAAUUUCGGGAUCAAUUUAUUGGUCGUGCUAUUGUACGUACUGGUAUUAUUGAUUCCUACCUUCUGACGAACCAUGAUGUCAUUAAUUUG